ACAACGGGUGGAGCCUGCGGUUUAAUUGGACUCAACGCCGGGCAGCUCACCGGAUAAGACAGCUGGAUGAUAGCCGGGCUGAAGACUCUGCUUGACUAGCUGAGAGGAGGUGCAUGGCCGUCGUCAGUCGUACUGUGAAGCAUCCUGUUAAGUCAGGCAACGAGCGAGACCCACGCCCAACAGUUGCCAGCAUGUCCUCCGGGAUGAUGGGGACACUGUUGGGACCGCCUCUGCUAAAGAGGAGGAAGGAAUGGGCAACGGUAGGUCAGCAUGCCCCGAAUUAUCCGGGCUACACGCGGGCUACAAUGGUCAGGACAAUGGGUAUCGACACCGAGAGGUGGAGGCAAUCUCCUAAACCUGUCCUUAGUCCGGAUUGUGGGCUGCAACUCGCCCACAUGAAGCUGGAAUCCGUAGUAAUCGCGUUUCAAAAUAGCGCGGUGAAUAUGUCCCUGCUCCUU
This 458-nucleotide ribosomal RNA is filed under the name uncultured Methanolinea sp. Its description in RNAcentral is "bacterial SSU rRNA". It matches the Rfam family "Archaeal small subunit ribosomal RNA", at positions 881 to 1338 of the family's 1478-position model. The record is from RNAcentral. Lineage: Archaea; Methanobacteriati; Methanobacteriota; Methanomicrobia; Methanomicrobiales; Methanoregulaceae.